GACGAACUGUGCAAACGUUAUUCGGAAUCACUGGGCUUGAAGAGUGCGUAGGCGGUUUUGUAAGUAGGAUGUGAAAAUCCCCGGGCGUCAACCUGGGAACGUGCAUUCAAAACUAGACAAGCUAGAGUAUGGUAGAGGGUGGUGGAAUUUCCUGUGUAGCGGUGAAAUGCGUAGAUAUAGGAAGGAACACCAGUGGCGAAGGCGACCACCUGGACUGAUACUGACACUGAGGUGCGAAAGCGUGGGGAGCAAACAGGAUUAGAUACCCCGGUAGU
RNAcentral lists this ribosomal RNA (275 nucleotides) under uncultured bacterium. RNAcentral describes it as "partial 16S ribosomal RNA". It matches the Rfam family "Bacterial small subunit ribosomal RNA", at positions 524 to 794 of the family's 1533-position model. The record is from RNAcentral.